Molecule: regulatory RNA element, 61 nt
Organism: Streptomyces tsukubensis
Lineage: Bacteria; Bacillati; Actinomycetota; Actinomycetes; Kitasatosporales; Streptomycetaceae
Rfam family: Actino-pnp RNA
Source: Rfam
GCCGGUCCUCGGUAGUGGCCUCCGGAUGACACCACUCCGGGUGCUUCGAUCGAAGACCGGC